UUCGUAAUAUGGAGAGGACAGUGGCGAACGGGUGAGUAACACGUAGACGACCUGCCCCGAAGAGCGGGACAACCAUUGGAAACCAUGGCUAAAACCGCAUAAGCUCACGGCGAUUAGUAAACUGUGAGAAAAGACUUUGGUGCUUCGGGAGGGGUCUGCGGCCCAUCAGCUAGCUGGUAGGGUAACGGCCUACCAGGGCGAAGACGGGUAGGGGUCCUGAGAGGGUGGCCCCCCACACGGGAACUGAGACACGGUCCCG
RNAcentral lists this ribosomal RNA (259 nucleotides) under uncultured bacterium. RNAcentral's name for it is "partial 16S ribosomal RNA". It matches the Rfam family "Bacterial small subunit ribosomal RNA", at positions 74 to 334 of the family's 1533-position model. The record is from RNAcentral.